GUUACGGCGCUGCAGCUUCUGCACUAAAUGGACAAGCAACAAAAGGCAACGGUUAUGGCGCUGCAGCUGCUCCACAAAAUGGACAAGCAACCAAAGGCAAUGGUUACAGUGCUGCAGCUGCUCCACAAAAUGAACAAGCAACAAAAGGCAACGGUCAAGGAGCCUCAGCCGGCCCAUACAACGGCAAUGGGGCCAGACCCAAUGGACAGGGGGGAGGUGGAAGUACACCUAUAAAAGGAUACGGACGACCACAUUAC
Molecule: long non-coding RNA, 257 nt
Organism: Pseudoliparis swirei
Lineage: Eukaryota; Metazoa; Chordata; Actinopteri; Perciformes; Liparidae
Exons: 5
Source: RefSeq, a predicted model, not a curated record